Eurytemora carolleeae is the source of this 171-nucleotide long non-coding RNA. RefSeq lists it as uncharacterized. NCBI's taxonomy places the organism in Eukaryota, Metazoa, Arthropoda, Copepoda, Calanoida, Temoridae. The record is from RefSeq and is a predicted model, not a curated record. The transcript is spliced from 3 exons.
GAAACGUUUUCAGAUGAAUGAACUAAAAAGAUGAGAUGCCAUUGACUACCUUGAGGAACCAUUCGGUAUCCUUCGAUAUUAGCCCAACAAACAUCCAGGAGGAAGCUAGGCGAAGACGACAUCAACGAUCUCGACCAGAAUCCGGGGAUUUUAAUGUUGCUGGACGAGGUA